AGUGAACGCUGGCGGUAUGCCUAAUACAUGCAAGUCGAACGGCAGCACAGUAAGAUCUCGCUCUUACGGGUGGCGACUGGCGGGCGAGUGAGGAAUACAUAGGCAUCUACUUUUACUUGGGGGAUAACGGAGAGAAACUUACGCUAAUACCGCAUACUACCUACGGCUGAAAUCAGAGGAUCUUCGCACCUUGGGUGACUCUAUUAGCUGAUUCCGUGCUGCAUUAGCUAGUUGGUAAGGUAACGGCAUACCAAGGCAACGAUGCAUAGCCGGUCUGAGAGGAUGAUCAGCCACACUGGAACUGAGACACGGUCCAGACUCCUACGGGAGGCAGCAGUAGGGAAUAUUGGACAAUGGGCGAAAGCCUGACCCAGCAACACCGCGUGAGUGAAGAAGGUCUUCGGGUUGUAAAACUCUUUUAUUGGGAAAGAAAAGAUGCGGAAGAAUACGCCGAUGUCCUGACGGUACCUAAACAGUAAGCAACGGCUAACUUCGUG
RNAcentral lists this ribosomal RNA (497 nucleotides) under uncultured bacterium. RNAcentral's name for it is "partial 16S ribosomal RNA". It matches the Rfam family "Bacterial small subunit ribosomal RNA", at positions 29 to 507 of the family's 1533-position model. The record is from RNAcentral.